The sequence is a transfer RNA, 72 nucleotides long. It matches the Rfam family "tRNA". Rfam says of the family: Transfer RNA (tRNA) molecules are approximately 80 nucleotides in length. Their secondary structure includes four short double-helical elements and three loops (D, anti-codon, and T loops). The record is from Rfam.
GGGCGAUUAGCUCAGUGGGAGAGCGCUACCUUGACACGGUAGAGGCCACUGGUUCAAUCCCAGUAUCGCCCA